UAAAAAGGUAAGCUAACCCAAGCUAAUAGGUUCAUACCCUGUAAAUGAAAGUUCCACCCUUUCCCUUUUUAA
This 72-nucleotide transfer RNA is filed under the name Opatrum subaratum. RNAcentral describes it as "tRNA-Met". It matches the Rfam family "tRNA". From Rfam's summary of the family: Transfer RNA (tRNA) molecules are approximately 80 nucleotides in length. The record is from RNAcentral. Lineage: Eukaryota; Metazoa; Arthropoda; Insecta; Coleoptera; Tenebrionidae.